Molecule: ribosomal RNA, 468 nt
Filed under: uncultured bacterium
Lineage: Bacteria
Description: partial 16S ribosomal RNA
Rfam family: Bacterial small subunit ribosomal RNA
Source: RNAcentral
GACGAACGCUGGCGGCGUGCUUAACACAUGCAAGUCGAACGGAAAGGCCCUGCUUUUGUGGGGUGCUCGAGUGGCGAACGGGUGAGUAACACGUGAGUAACCUGCCCUUGACUUUGGGAUAACUUCAGGAAACUGGGGCUAAUACCGGAUAGGAGCUCCUGCUGCAUGGUGGGGGUUGGAAAGUUUCGGCGGUUGGGGAUGGACUCGCGGCUUAUCAGCUUGUUGGUGGGGUAGUGGCUUACCAAGGCUUUGACGGGUAGCCGGCCUGAGAGGGUGACCGGCGACAUGGGGACUGAGAUACGGCCAAGACUCCUACGGGAGGCAGCAGUGGGGAAUAGUGCACAAUGGGCGGGAGCCUGAUGCAGCAACGCCGCGUGCGGGAUGAUGGCCUUCGGGUUGUAAACCGCUUUCGCCUGUGACGAAGCGGGAGUGACGGUAAUGGGUAAAGAAGCACCGGCUAACUACGUG